This 3982-nucleotide long non-coding RNA is filed under the name Equus caballus (horse). RNAcentral's name for it is "lncRNA (ENSECAG00000057952.1)". Lineage: Eukaryota; Metazoa; Chordata; Mammalia; Perissodactyla; Equidae. The record is from RNAcentral.
CAACAGAAAUAUAGUGCCCAGACCAAGGGAUAUGAUAUUCCUACUCUACUUAAAACUGGUCCAAUCAUACUUUAUAUUUUCUACUCAGUUCUGGACACUUCAUUUUAUGGAAAAUUUUAACUAAGGAAGGAAGAGCAGAAUGAGGAAAGAUCUGGAAACCAGGUCAUAUGAGAAAGAAACGAAGGAAUCAGGAAUGUGUUUUACUCUAGAGACAGAAAGACCUAGGGACACACAUGACAGCUGUCUUCAAUAUUUGGAGAAGCAACAUGUGGUAAAGGAAUUGAGUCAUUCUGUUGGCUCCAGAAGGCAGCAAAGAUGUAAGAGCAGUGGGUGCAAAUCCCAAGGAGGCAAAUUCCCAGUCCAUAUGAAGUAUUUUCUAUCACUUGGAGUAGUCCAACAUUAGAGGAAUCUUCCUUAUAAACAAUGAUCCCUCCAUUGCUAGAGGCGUCCAAGCCCAGGACGUUGUAGUAAAGAUUGGGUUAGGGUAUAAAGGACAAGGUCUUUCCAUUCCUUGCAUCUCCAAACUUUUGCUCAGUCUUUGGCUUUGAUUUGCCCCACCUUUAUCCUCUAAGUCCAUCUCAGGUGGGAACUAGUGAGACUGAGAAAAGCAAGAAAUUCCCAGCAGUUGUCGACUUUAGCCCUGAUGUGUCUCGGGAAAUUCACUCACCUGGAAGGAGCAAUAAAGGGUUCUCGGGUUGCCGUCAGCGGGUACGUGGGGAAAGAGAGAAGGGAACAGAGGAGGGUUCAGCAAUGCACUUUCCUCAGCUCUCUCUGUGAGCUAAGAAGCAGCGACACGGUCAUUAAAACAUCCAAAGGCGAUGUUGAUCUGAAAGCUGGGUUAGUAUCUCACUUGGGGGCGCGAAUUUCUCUCCAGAUCUGCCAAAAGCCGGGAGAAAAACCUCUCUCCCUGUUGCCUGAAGCAGAUUUACAGGGCUUCAGACCUCGCUGGAGAGUAGACCCUGCUGCGACUCAGGAAACCACGCCCAGCCCCAGGCUGCAGUAGGAAGGGGCUGGGGGGAAGAAUGGGACCCUCUGUGACUGCAGGAAAACUGAGUCUUGAACCUCGCCUCAGUUGAAAGGAGAGGAUGGAAGGGGGCUCCUGCAGACUGCUGCUGACCCGAAGAAGAAUCUGAGUUAUGUCUCAGCAACUGAACAAACAUUUACAUUUGUCACCAAAAAAACCAAAACACAAAAACCCUUAAAACUAAACUUAAAAGUUCUGGGGAGAAAAAAAGAGAGGGAAUCAGGUCUUUUCUUGUUUCCCAAGGCAGGAGUCGGACGUGGGGAGCAGCCGAUGCAGAAGACAUAAGAGCAGGAGGUGCGUGUGCUGAUUAAACUAAAUGCACACCUAAGACUCUGGUUUUUCUGAAGAUGUGUGUGCCGGAGAGCCGGAGGAAGAGAGAGAGCGAAGCAAAGCGUCCUUGAAUUUGCUCCAGUCUCUCAUAUCACUCUGACUUAGAAAAAACAGAGAGAAGGCAGACCCAUGUCUAUCACAGACAAACCCCUUUUCUUAUUCAAAAAGAGGAAUUUUUAAAAACAAAUUUUUCUCUAAUGAGAUAGAGUUUUCACAACGGGAGGAUUUUGGAAGACAGAUUAUUUUUAGUAGAUUUAUUUAACGCUCUUUUGAAAGUGUGAUUUUUUUUUCAAAAUAGCUUAAGAUGUUAAAGAAUCCAAAGUCAGGACUGGUAUUAGGCACUAACUGGAUGCUAUUUUUCUUUUAUUUUCAUAUCUGUUCCUCUGUUCUUCAUUAUUAAAUUCUAGGGAUAAACACAAGCUCUUUUUCUUUUUCCUACUCAAGGCAGGAAGACUGAGGGAAAGCCUGCUAAACUCUGGGUCCAAACACCCAAAUGAAAACCAGGGAAAAAAAUCAGCUUUCCAGAUCUUUGGUAUUCUGUGAAGAAAAUGUAGGAGAUUAGUCCUGUUUGGGAUUUUUUUGGUUGCUUUGCUUUGUCUUAAUUUUUGCUUUCCUCUGAGUUUAACCACACACCACUGAACACGGAGCGAUGACUAAUUUCUCACCUCCUUGCCUUUUUAUUUCCAUUCUGGAAAUCGUGUAGAGAUAGAUUAGACUGAGGGAUUUUGGGCAAAAGGCCCUCUUCCUUUUCACCUCAAUGCCAAGAACUUUUCUGCUUCCCACUCACACUUCUCAGAAGUUUCAUUUUGCACCAGUUACAGUCGAAAUACAAACUCCAAAGCGUGGAAGAGAAAGAGCAGCUCUCUGCACAGGUAACGGUACCCAGCUCCCUAGCCCCCUUUCUCUGGUUGUUGCAGCCACAUCUGCAAAGCUGUGUACAGGUCAGUUUGCUCUCUGGUCGGGGACACAAGUCACGACACCUGUUCACAGAAAGGUCUGCGAAUGUGUGAAGGAGGCCAGCGUGUCUGUGGGAAUGUGUCAGCAUGUGGAUUUCAACGGGUUUUGAAAUGUUCACACUGUAGGUGGGAGCCUGCAAGCAUGCAGCCCCUUUCAAAGGCAUCUUUGCAAUUCCCCAUUUCCAAGGCACCCAAAUUACUGAAUUUGAAUUGCUGAAUAGAGACCCCAUGCUGGAUUCAGCACUCGCUCCACGCCACAUCACCCUACCCUACCCCACCCCACCCCACCCAUGCCUUCCUGCCUUCCUCUGACUCUUUCUAGCUUCAGCUCCCUGGGUAAGGUCUCUCCUAAGAAAAGUCAAAGUGUGGAGAUUGAAAAUUGAGUUCUGGAAAACGGCUGUGUGUAAACAGGAGAGACAAUGGAGUAACUGGAGGCCGUAGAGGCGGGAAUGGAAGUUCAGGGCUGGAGAAGAACAUGGGAUAGCUCUUCUCACCUCCCGCCAGCCUGUGUUUCCUUACAUACACCUUGAAGGCUUUCCCACUGUGCUGCUUGUUGUCCAGAUUUCACCUCUUCAGACUCCCCAGCCUGAGAAACAACAGCUCCUGGCAGAGGCUGCAGACUGGACUAAAAUGUGGAAUGAGAGAACUCUGGCCAAAAUUGUUAGAGCCAUGCCGGGGACCCUGGAACCUUUGCAUUCCUCAGGUCGCAGAAAUUCCCUCUUUCGAUGUCGUUCUUCCUAGGGGGUCCCUGAUCUGGAAAUCUAACCCCAGAGUGGAGUAAGCGCUAGCAAGCGACUUUUCCUUUUCCUUGACAGCUUCCCCUUCCCUUUUCCUGCCUUAAGUCAGGUUCCUGUUUCUGUGAUCAGGAUCCACGUGUGCAGAUCGAUGGUAGGAAUAAGCAAGAGGAUGUCAUCAACUCCCAACAAUUUUCAAUGAUGGUAACCAACCGCUCCAGACAGGGUGAUCAUCCCGCGGGCUCUGUGAAACUUCCAACGGGUGGUUGUCCUUGCCCCGCAGUUCCAUUAAGCAUUGAAAGUAAUGCUUCCCCUCGCUGUGCCCUUUCAGACCCAAAUAACCCAUGCACUGUCCUGUGUGAGUUCACUUUAUUGACCAUAGAAGGGGAAGACAUCCCAAACAUUUUUAGAAAAGAUAAAAGAAAACCUUGCUCCAUUGAUGCAUAAAGGACGUUGGACUCUGUGGGGCUGAGUCAGGGGAUGAAGAAGAGAAAAGUAGGCUUGUCUGUGACUGGAGCCCCUUGCCUGGAUCUCCCUGCGAAAGGAUGGCUUCUCUGUCCCUUUCCUGCCAACAUUUCUACCAAUCUAAACAUCCAGCUGGGACCUUCAAAUCCUUUCCAUUUCCAAAGUUGAGUCUUUUCUUGAGUUUACACUUGCUAAAGUAAAGGGAGCCCCAACAAAACAAAAACUCUGUGGGCAAACCCUGGGCGUGGACUCUCCCCAAGCUAUAAAGAGAACUGUGUCAUUUGCUGAGAUGGACACCUUUAACCAAUGGAAGCAGCAAGUCUGAUGAUUGCGGUACCAGAUCGGUCUGCGGGUGCAGAGAGGAGGACCAAGGCUGGAGGACUCCAUCCAGCACGUCUCUAAGCAUGUCUCCUAUACCUCAUUUAUUCUUCAACAUCCCCCAUCUUACAUCUGAUGAAAUGGAACCACAGGGA